AACGAACGCUGGCGGCGUGGAUAAGACAUGCAAGUCGAACGGGACUAAAUCUGUAGCAAUACAGGUUUAGUUUAGUGGCGAACGGGUGCGUAACACGUGGGCAAUCUGCCGAGAAGUGGGGGAUAGCUCGCCGAAAGGCGAAUUAAUACCGCAUAUGAUCAGUGAAGACAUCUUCACGACAUCAAAGCCGGGGUAACCUGGCGCUUCUUGAUGAGCCCGCGGCCUAUCAGCUAGUUGGUGAGGUAACGGCUCACCAAGGCUAUGACGGGUAGCUGGUCUGAGAGGACGACCAGUCACACUGGAACUGAGACACGGUCCAGACACCUACGGGUGGCAGCAGUCGAGAAUUUUUCUCAAUGGGGCAACCCUGAAGGAGCGACGCCGCGUGGAGGAUGAAGGC
Molecule: ribosomal RNA, 400 nt
Filed under: uncultured bacterium
Lineage: Bacteria
Description: bacterial SSU rRNA
Rfam family: Bacterial small subunit ribosomal RNA
Source: RNAcentral